UUCAAAAUACAUCCCAAUAAGACCAUUCGUUUACAGUUUCAAAUUACUACAUCCACAAAAUAUAUACCAAAAUGUCCAUAUAUACAUCUCAAAUUCACUUUUCAAUCCACAAAAUAAACCACAAUAAACCAAACUAUUCAUAAAAUUAAGCUACUACCUAAGCAUGUGCAAAAAAUCCUAGGUUCUCCCAAAAUACGACAGUAACUUUUGCUCUAGCACUAGCCAUGGAUGGCAGUAACUUUUGCUCUAACACUAAUAGAUUCUUGAGAGAAGGUUAACCUGCUUCUAUUGCUUCUGUUACACUGCUUCUGUUGCUUCUGCUACACUGCUUCUGUUGCUGCGACACACUUCUUGCUGCUAUUUGCAGCGAAGUGCUGCUGCCAAACAUUUAUAAACUGUUAUAACAUUUAUAAACUUUGUAAAUUGCAUUUAUAAAUUGUUCUUACCAAACAAAGAACCAUCGGGUCUCCAAAUUAGAGUCUAUUUUAACAAAUAUGCUACUAAUAACCCUUAAAUUAGUGUCAAGUUACUGCAAUAAAUUAGAGUCUAUUUUCAGAAAAGCCAGCAGAACAUCAGUGGACCUCUUUGAAGGAUCACUCAAGCUAGCACCAAAUUUCUUAUCAUACAAACUCAAGAAAUAGCUUCAUAGUUCUGCAACUACAGAUCCUUGUUUGCAACUACAGAUAAGACAUUAGUAAACUUCAUUAUAUAGGCAGGUAGUUCACAUAAACGAGUCAAACCUCUUCAAAUAUGGCUUGAAUAGUCGGUGUGUCUGAGGCUUUGAGUAGGUUCAGGUAUAUCCAAUUGACAUCAAAAACCCAAACCCCACAUCAAAAACAAUUAAACCCAAUUUCUAGCACUAUAUGAAGUAGAGUUCAUGCCUCAUACUCUUUUCCAUCAUUAUACAGGUCACCAUGUGAUAUCAACUUAGGUUCGGUCUGGUAUUUAAAGAAGGCAUCAUGGAGAACCUACAAAAUAGAAAAAGAAUAGUAACUGCCAAAUACAGUCAAAUAUGCUCAAAUACGCUCAAUUAAACCCAAUUUCUAGCACUAUAUGAAGUAGAGUUCAUACCUCGUAUUCUUGGACCACUAUGUUUUGAAAAUCAGACAUGAAUUAACAAAAUAGAAAAUGAGAAAUUAUUAUAAUGGCAUAAUAACAUCAUUAAAGGAAAGCUUGAAUAACUACGAAAUACCAUCUUGCUAACUUAAUCAAGAAUAUUGUGGAAAAAAUCGAUCAAAUGAAUACAUAGAAAGAAUAGGUUUCAUAAGUAAAACUCUCUAGAGAAUAAAUAUUAAGGUGAUAAAAUUUCUCUAUUUAAAAUCUUCUUUAAAUCAAUGUAUAUCCAUUAAUUNNN
RNAcentral lists this long non-coding RNA (1354 nucleotides) under Panax ginseng (ginseng). RNAcentral's name for it is "long non-coding RNA (PGIN_LNC016494)". Lineage: Eukaryota; Viridiplantae; Streptophyta; Magnoliopsida; Apiales; Araliaceae. The record is from RNAcentral.